Molecule: long non-coding RNA, 263 nt
Filed under: Phoenix dactylifera (date palm)
Lineage: Eukaryota; Viridiplantae; Streptophyta; Magnoliopsida; Arecales; Arecaceae
Description: long non-coding RNA (PDAC_LNC013843)
Source: RNAcentral
UAUUGAGGCCUCAAUCUUAAACAUUUAUACUCUUCUUUCUUUUGGUUUUUGUUUUAAAGGAAGUCAAGCCUCCAGGAGGCUGCUUAUCCUCUCAUUCUUACAUCCCAUUAGGGGACUGAUGGUUAUUACACAUUAAAUUUACAAAUACCCCAUCAACAAACCAUUUGUCUGUUUGGGGUUCAACAUAAAUUCUUUCACAAACAAGAGCUAUCAUUGUUCUAAUAAAAAAUCAGAGAAACAUCUAAAUACAAAACACUUUUACU